RNAcentral lists this ribosomal RNA (468 nucleotides) under uncultured bacterium. RNAcentral describes it as "partial 16S ribosomal RNA". It matches the Rfam family "Bacterial small subunit ribosomal RNA", at positions 28 to 507 of the family's 1533-position model. The record is from RNAcentral.
GACGAACGCUGGCGGCGUGCUUAACACAUGCAAGUCGAACGGAAAGGCCCUGCUUUUGUGGGGUGCUCGAGUGGCGAACGGGUGAGUAACACGUGAGUAACCUGCCCUUGACUUUGGGAUAACUUCAGGAAACUGGGGCUAAUACCGGAUAGGAGCUCCUGCUGCAUGGUGGGGGUUGGAAAGUUUCGGCGGUUGGGGCUGGACUCGCGGCUUAUCAGCUUGUUGGUGGGGUAGUGGCUUACCAAGGCUUUGACGGGUAGCCGGCCUGAGAGGGUGACCGGCCACAUUGGGACUGAGAUACGGCCCAGACUCCUACGGGGGGCAGCAGUGGGGAAUAUUGCACAAUGGGCGGAAGCCUGAUGCAGCAACGCCGCGUGCGGGAUGACGGCCUUCGGGUUGUAAACCGCUUUCGCCUGUGACGAAGCGUGAGUGACGGUAAUGGGUAAAGAAGCACCGGCUAACUACGUG